CCUACGGGCGGCAGCAGUGGGGAAUAUUGGGCAAUGGACGCAAGUCUGACCCAGCAACGCCGCGUGAAGGAAGAAGGCUUUCGGGUUGUACACUUCUUUUAAGGGGGAAGAGGAGAAGACGGUACCCCUUGAAUAAGCCACGGCUAACUACGUGCCAGCAGCCGCGGUAAUACGUAGGGGGCCAGCGUUGUCCGGAUUUAUGGGGUGUAAAGGGCGUGUAGCCGGGCCGACAAGUCAGUUGUGAAAGUCGCGGGCUUAACCGGCGAAUUGCAUUUGAAACUAUAUGUCUUGAGUACCGUAGAGGUAAGCGGAAGUCGUGGUGUAGGGGUGAAAGGCGUAGAUAUAAGGAAGAACACCGAUGGCGAAGGCAGAUUACUGGACGGUAACUGACAGUGAGGCGCGAAAGCGUGGGGAGCAAACAGGAUUAGAUACCCGUGUAGUC
RNAcentral lists this ribosomal RNA (442 nucleotides) under uncultured bacterium. Its description in RNAcentral is "partial 16S ribosomal RNA". It matches the Rfam family "Bacterial small subunit ribosomal RNA", at positions 338 to 795 of the family's 1533-position model. The record is from RNAcentral.